RNAcentral lists this ribosomal RNA (626 nucleotides) under uncultured Methanosarcina sp. Its description in RNAcentral is "partial 16S ribosomal RNA". It matches the Rfam family "Archaeal small subunit ribosomal RNA", at positions 333 to 962 of the family's 1478-position model. The record is from RNAcentral. Lineage: Archaea; Methanobacteriati; Methanobacteriota; Methanomicrobia; Methanosarcinales; Methanosarcinaceae.
AAAAAAACUUAUAUCACAAUCGCAGGGAAACCGUGAUAGCGUUGGACACCGAGUGCCAGCAAAAAAAAAAGACUGUCCGGAUGUGUAAAAUACAUCCGCAGCAAAAGGCCGGGCAAGACCGGUGCCAGCCGCCGCGUUAACACCGGCGGCCCGAGUGGUGAUCGGGAUUAUUGGGUCUAAAGGGUCCGUAGCCGGUUUGGUCAGUCCUCCGGGAAAUCUGAUAGCUCAACUAUUAGGCUUUCGGGGGAUACUGCCAGACUUGGAACCGGGAGAGGUAAGAGGUACUACAGGGGUAGGAGUGAAAUCUUGUAAUCCCUGUGGGACCACCUGUGGGGAAAGCGUCUUACCAGAACGGGUUCAAAGGUGAGGAAUAAAUGCUGGGGGCACAAACCGAAUUAUAUACACGGGUAGUCCCAGCCGUAAACUAUGCUCCCUGGGUGUCAGGCAUGGGGCGACCCUGUCUGGUGCCGCAGGGAAGCCGUAAAAAAACAACCUUAAAUACUCCCCAAACCUAAAACUUAAAGGAGUUGGCGGGGGAAAGGGCGAUUCGUUUAAACCUGCGGGACUAGUCCCUUUAGUGAGGGUUAAUUCUGACUUGGGUAACCUUGGCAUAGCUGUUUCGCGAA